Molecule: long non-coding RNA, 636 nt
Organism: Pseudophryne corroboree (corroboree frog)
Lineage: Eukaryota; Metazoa; Chordata; Amphibia; Anura; Myobatrachidae
Exons: 2
Source: RefSeq, a predicted model, not a curated record
GUCUGCACCUCAUCAGCCUCUGCUACAGUAUAUGGACUGGACAACCAUGCAAAGACAGCUGACACUCAUCUUCAUUAUUUAUCUUCACUAUGGAGAAUGUAAAGAAGAUGUAAAGCAGUCCCCUCUCUCACACAAUGCUGAAGAAGGAGAUGGGCUUGUUAUGCAGUGUGAAUACACUGACAGUGCAUUAUACAGUCUGCAGUGGUACAAGCAAAGUCCUGGAGAGAGUCUUAUGCUAUUAAGAAAUCAGCUGGGAAAUGAAAAUAUCACAGAGGAUAGAUAUUCAUAUCAAUUAGAAAAGGAGAAGAAACUCAGCCGUGUGUCUAUCACCAAGCUGGAGAUCUCAGACUCAGCCACGUACUGGUGUGCUUUUAGAGCACAGUGACAGAAAGCAGCUGAUCACUACACAGAAACCUCGCAGAUGCAUUUGUAUCAGGGGAAUGUAGAAUAUCGUAGGAGAUAACCACCUGGAUCAUGUAAUAAAGAGAAGAAGAAUUGGUUUCUAUUCAUUUUAUAAUUUUGUAGAUACUAAAUACCAAUACAAUAAAAUGUAAUAUUUCUCAUUCUACUGUAGGUGAGAUAUGGAGUCAUGUGCAGUGUAAAAAGAUUUCUCAAUAAAUGUCAGUACAGAGUACA